GAUGAACGCUGGCGGCGUGCCUAAUACAUGCAAGUCGAGCGAACAGAUGAGGAGCUUGCUCCUUUGACGUUAGCGGCGGACGGGUGAGUAACACGUGGGUAACCUACCUAUAAGACUGGGAUAACUUCGGGAAACCGGAGCUAAUACCGGAUAAUAUUUUGAACCGCAUGGUUCUAAAGUGAAAGAUGGUUUUGCUGUCACUUAUAGAUGGACCCGCGCUGCAUUAGCUAGUUGGUAAGGUAACGGCUUACCAAGGCAACGAUGCAUAGCCGACCUGAGAGGGUGAUCGGCCACACUGGAACUGAGACACGGUCCAGACUCCUACGGGAGGCAGCAGUAGGGAAUCUUCCGCAAUGGGCGAAAGCCUGACGGAGCAACGCCGCGUGAGUGAUGAAGGGUUUCGGAUCGUAAAACUCUGUUAUUAGGGAAGAACAAAUGUGUAAGUAACUGUGCACGUCUUGACGGUACCUAAUCAGAAAGCCACGGCUAACUACGUG
RNAcentral lists this ribosomal RNA (497 nucleotides) under uncultured bacterium. RNAcentral's name for it is "partial 16S ribosomal RNA". It matches the Rfam family "Bacterial small subunit ribosomal RNA", at positions 28 to 507 of the family's 1533-position model. The record is from RNAcentral.